GGAAGGAUCAUUAACUACAAAUCUGUGGCCUCGGUCACAUUCGCUCCGUGCUCCGGCACGUGACAUUUGCUCGUUUGACAUUUACAGAAGACAAUAUAAACUUUUAACAAUGGAUCUCUAGGCUCUUGCAUCGAUGAAGAACGCAGUAAAGUGCGAAAACUAGUGCGAUUUGCAUGUUCUGUGAGUCAUCGAGUCUUUGAACGCAUAUGGCACCAUGCCUCGCAUGGUAUGCCUGUUUGAGAAUCAUACACACGUUAUUAUUGGGCCUUCACCAUUGAUCGCCCGGAACACUUGCGCACUGCCGAGUUACAGCAACGCGACAGUCCUCUCACUUUGAUCUCAAAUCAGGCAAGAUUACCCGCCGAACUUAAGCAUAUCAGUAAGCGGAGGAAGAGAAACUAACAAGGAUUCCCCUAGUAACGGCGAGUGAAGCGGGAAGAGCUCAAAUUUUAAAUCCGGGAGCGCGCAGCUCUCUGAAUUGUAGUUUCAAGACGCGGGCCCUGGCUGGCGCGCAGGCGUUCAAGUUCCCUGGAAUGGGGCAUCGCAGAGGGUGAGAAUCCCGUCUGGACGCUUGCGCACUGGCCGCCUGGCACGCGUCAAAGAGUCGAGUUGUUUGGGAAUGCAGCUCAAAAUGGGUGGUAAAUUUCAUCUAAGGCUAAAUAUUGGCAAGAGACCGAUAGCAAACAAGUACCGUGAGGGAAAGAUGAAAAGAACCUUGAAAAGGGAGUUAAACAGUGCGUGAAAUUGUUAAAAGGGAAACGAUUGAAGCGAGUAUUGCGCAAGCAGGCCAGCGCCGGUUUUGGCAGCCGCACACGCCCCGCAGAAAGGUGACGUAGCAGUACGUUUUAUAGUCUGCGGAUGCAGCGGUCGCCGUGACUGGACGGGCGCCACACACACGUGGGUACGUACUGGUGAAGCACUGGCCGACUGCAUGCAGGCGGCCAGUGUCCAUCCCUUACAUCAUGCGUGCAGGCGCCGAGCUGGCGAAAUGGCUUCAAACGACCCGUCUUGAAACACGGACCAAGGAGUCUAACGUAUGUGCGAGUAUUUGGGUGGCAAACCCGAGUGCGCAAUAAAAGUAAGCAGUGGGAGAUGCUCGGCAUCGCACCAUUGGCCGAUCUUGAUAUCUCUUGAUAGAUUCGAGUCAGAGCACAUCCGCUGGGACCCGAAAGAUGGUGAACUAUGCCUGAAUAGGGUGAAGCCAGAGGAAACUCUGGUGGAAGCUCGCAGCCGUUCUGACGUGCAAAUCGAUGGUCAAAUUUGGGUAUAGGGGCGAAAGACUAAUCGAACCAUCUAGUAGCUGGUUCCCUC
This 1311-nucleotide unclassified non-coding RNA is filed under the name uncultured fungus. RNAcentral's name for it is "sequence contains 18S rRNA gene, ITS1, 5.8S rRNA gene, ITS2, 28S rRNA gene". The stretch from base 335 to 1311 matches the Rfam family "Eukaryotic large subunit ribosomal RNA", at positions 1 to 961 of the family's 3401-position model. The record is from RNAcentral. Lineage: Eukaryota; Fungi.